GAGGGUAUAGCUCAGUGGUAGAGUUCAUGCUUAACAUGCAUGAGGUCCUGGGUUCAACCCUCAGUACCUCCA
Camelus ferus (Wild Bactrian camel) is the source of this 72-nucleotide transfer RNA. It matches the Rfam family "tRNA". From Rfam's summary of the family: Transfer RNA (tRNA) molecules are approximately 80 nucleotides in length. Their secondary structure includes four short double-helical elements and three loops (D, anti-codon, and T loops). Further hydrogen bonds mediate the characteristic L-shaped molecular structure. tRNAs have two regions of fundamental functional importance: the anti-codon, which is responsible for specific mRNA codon recognition, and the 3' end, to which the tRNAs corresponding amino acid is attached (by aminoacyl-tRNA synthetases). tRNAs cope with the degeneracy of the genetic code in two manners: having more than one tRNA (with a specific anti-codon) for a particular amino acid; and 'wobble' base-pairing, i.e. permitting non-standard base-pairing at the 3rd anti-codon position. The record is from Rfam. NCBI's taxonomy places the organism in Eukaryota, Metazoa, Chordata, Mammalia, Artiodactyla, Camelidae.